UACGUAGGGUGCGAGCGUUGUCCGGAAUUAUUGGGCGUAAAGAGCUCGUAGGCGGCUUGUCGCGUCGGAUGUGAAAGCCCGGGGCUUAACUCCGGGUCUGCAUUCGAUACGGGCAGGCUAGAGUGUGGUAGGGGAGAUCGGAAUUCCUGGUGUAGCGGUGAAAUGCGCAGAUAUCAGGAGGAACACCGGUGGCGAAGGCGGAUCUCUGGGCCAUUACUGACGCUGAGGAGCGAAAGCGUGGGAGCGAACAGG
This 252-nucleotide ribosomal RNA is filed under the name uncultured bacterium. RNAcentral describes it as "partial 16S ribosomal RNA". It matches the Rfam family "Bacterial small subunit ribosomal RNA", at positions 524 to 776 of the family's 1533-position model. The record is from RNAcentral.